CAGCCUUAAGCUGUGCCAGGGGAAGCUUGGAUCAGACAUCAGAAAAAAAAAAAUUAUUCACAGAAAGAGUGGUUGGGCUGCCCAGAGAGGUGGUGGAAUCACCAUCCCUGGAGGUAGUUAAAAAAAGACUGGAUGCGGCACUCAGCGCCAUGGUUUAGUUGAUAAGGUGGUGUUAGGUCAUAGGCUGGAUUCCUUGGAUCACCAAGGUAUUUUCCAGCCUAAUUGAUUCUGUAGUUCUGUCAUUCUGUGUUCUGUCAUUCUGUGAAUCUGUGGAUAAGCUCUUCCCAACUUGCCCAUGGUAAGACCUGUAACUAUUGACACAUGAGAAACAUUUGCAAAGGGAAAAGAAACCUGCCAUCAUUUACUGAAAUAUUGGUUGUUCUGCUUAAUCCUUUCAUCAUUCUUUUUUUGGACUUUCUUUUUUUUCUUUGCUGCCUUUCCAUGGAAACAUAACACAGCCUAUUGUUUUGUUUAAUUUUUGUCAUUUGCUUCUCCUCUAUCGACCUCUUCUAAUAUGUGUCUGAUUCUAUUUUUUUCAGUCAAGCUAAUGAUCCAGGAAGAGGAAAGACAUUUUCAGGGCAGCACGAAUAUAAAUGAUAAACUAUGCUAUCUUCGACUCUGGCAGUACGGCCAUUUUCUUGUCAGAGAAGCCCAGCAAAAGGAGGAAAACAAAUGCAAAAUUUCCUAUUGAAUGGUUCAAUUCACCUGGAAUAGCAUUUGAAAUAAUGAAAGCUGUCUCCCAUUAGCAAAGUCCUGUGCCCACUAUUGAAACUAAAUUGUGUGCUGUGGAAUUGCAGUCCUGUCUUCAAAAAUAAAAUUGGUUUUCCUGCUGGGAGAGCA
This 840-nucleotide long non-coding RNA is filed under the name Cyanistes caeruleus (blue tit). Its description in RNAcentral is "lncRNA (ENSCCEG00000000006.1)". Lineage: Eukaryota; Metazoa; Chordata; Aves; Passeriformes; Paridae. The record is from RNAcentral.